UAAAAACUUUCAACAACGGAUCUCUUGGUUCUGGCAUCGAUGAAGAACGCAGCGAAAUGCGAUAAGUAAUGUGAAUUGCAGAAUUCAGUGAAUCUUUGAACGCACAUUGCGCCCGCCAGCAUUCUGGCGGGCAUGCCUGUUCGAGCGUCAUUUCAACCCUCAGGCCCUGGUUGCCUGGUGUUGGGGCGCCGCGCACCCUCAGCGGGCCGCGGGCCCCGAAAGUCAGUGGCGGGCUCGCCAGGACUCCGAGCGCAGUAAUUCUCUCUCGCUGUGGAGCGCCUGGUGGGUUUUACCAGCCGUAAAACACCCCAACUUCCAAAGGUUGACCUCGGAUCAGGUAGGAAUACCCGCUGAACUUAAGCAUAUCAAUAAGCGAAGGA
This 380-nucleotide ribosomal RNA is filed under the name uncultured Phaeoacremonium. RNAcentral describes it as "eukaryotic LSU rRNA". The stretch from base 5 to 150 matches the Rfam family "5.8S ribosomal RNA". The record is from RNAcentral. Lineage: Eukaryota; Fungi; Ascomycota; Sordariomycetes.